Molecule: transfer RNA, 74 nt
Filed under: Planctomycetota bacterium
Lineage: Bacteria; Pseudomonadati; Planctomycetota
Description: tRNA-Cys
Rfam family: tRNA
About the family: Transfer RNA (tRNA) molecules are approximately 80 nucleotides in length. Their secondary structure includes four short double-helical elements and three loops (D, anti-codon, and T loops). Further hydrogen bonds mediate the characteristic L-shaped molecular structure. tRNAs have two regions of fundamental functional importance: the anti-codon, which is responsible for specific mRNA codon recognition, and the 3' end, to which the tRNAs corresponding amino acid is attached (by aminoacyl-tRNA synthetases). tRNAs cope with the degeneracy of the genetic code in two manners: having more than one tRNA (with a specific anti-codon) for a particular amino acid; and 'wobble' base-pairing, i.e. permitting non-standard base-pairing at the 3rd anti-codon position.
Source: RNAcentral
GGUGGCGUAGCCAAGUGGUUAGGCAACGGAUUGCAAAUCCGUGAACGCGGGUUCGAUUCCCGCCGCCACCUCCA